This 219-nucleotide long non-coding RNA is filed under the name Mytilus galloprovincialis (Mediterranean mussel). Lineage: Eukaryota; Metazoa; Mollusca; Bivalvia; Mytilida; Mytilidae. The record is from RNAcentral.
GAAAUAUAGUAAUAUUGCAUAUAGUAUGAGAAAAACGGACCAAAACACAAAAAUUUAACUAUAACCACUGAACCAUUAAAAUGAGGUCAAGGUCAGAUGACACCUGCCAGUUGGACAUGUACACCUUACAGUCCUUCCAUACAUCGAAUAUACUAGACCUAUUGCUUAUAGUAUCUGAGAUAUGGACUUGACCACCAAAACUUAACCUUGUUCACUGAU